GAUGAACGCUGGCGGCGUGCCUAAUACAUGCAAGUCGAGCGAAGCGGCGGACGGGUGAGUAACGCGUAGGCAACCUGCCCCUGACAGAGGGAUAGCCAUUGGAAACGAUGAUUAAAACCUCAUGGUCAGGGAUGGGCCUGCGUCUGAUUAACUAGUUGGUGAGGUAACGGCUCACCAAGGUGACGAUCAGUAGCCGACCUGAGAGGGUGAUCGGCCACAUUGGAACUGAGACACGGUCCAAACUUCUACGGAAGGCAGCAGUAGGGAAUCUUGCACAAUGGGCGAAAGCCUGAUGCAGCAACGCCGCGUGAAGGAUGAAGGCCUUCGGGUUGUAAACUUCUGUUCUAAGGGAAGCGGUACCUUAGGAGCAAGCCCCGGCUAACUACGUGCCAGCAGCCGCGGUAAUUC
This 408-nucleotide ribosomal RNA is filed under the name uncultured bacterium. Its description in RNAcentral is "partial 16S ribosomal RNA". It matches the Rfam family "Bacterial small subunit ribosomal RNA", at positions 28 to 526 of the family's 1533-position model. The record is from RNAcentral.